This 433-nucleotide ribosomal RNA is filed under the name uncultured bacterium. RNAcentral's name for it is "partial 16S ribosomal RNA". It matches the Rfam family "Bacterial small subunit ribosomal RNA", at positions 29 to 507 of the family's 1533-position model. The record is from RNAcentral.
AACGAACGCUGGCGGCAUGCCUAACACAUGCAAGUCGAACGAGACCUUCGGGUCUAGUGGCGCACGGGUGCGUAACGCGUGGGAACCUGCCCUUAGGUUCGGAAUAACUCCCCGAAAGGGGUGCUAAUACCGGAUAAUGUCUUCGGACCAAAGAUUUAUCGCCUUUGGCUGGGCCCGCGUUGGCUUAGCUGGUUGGUAGGGUAAAAGCCUACCAAGGCGACGAUCCAUAGCUGGUCUGAGAGGAUGAUCAGCCACACUGGGACUGAGACACGGCCCAGACUCCUACGGGAGGCAGCAGUGGGGAAUAUUGGACAAUGGGCGAAAGCCUGAUCCAGCAAUGCCGCGUGAGUGAUGAAGGCCUUAGGGUUGUAAAGCUCUUUUACCCGGGAUGAUAAUGACAGUACCGGGAGAAUAAGCUCCGGCUAACUCCGUG